CCCUUAGUUAUCCUAGGUCGCACGCGCCAUACAAUGUGGCGCACAACGAGUCUCCUUGGCCGACAGGAUGUCCCGCGAGCGAUCGGCGACGCAGCCAGCUCGGUCUUCGGGCAGACUCGGUGAGAGUGGCCCGUCCUCCUGAGAGGGCGAUCGUCGAUGCCUCGGGAUUCUGGGCAAUCUGGCAGAGCGCUACGUGACUGGGCUAGACUUUUGUAAUUUUUGGUCUUGAACGAGGAAUGCCUAGUAAUCGCAGGUCAGCAUCCUGCGAUGAUUCGGUCCCUGCCCGUUGUACACACCGCCCGUCGCUCCAUCCGUGGCAUGCGCCGGUGAAGAGGGGGAGGCAGCGUCGGCCGUGUAACAGCGGAUCGUACGUGGAACCCCUCUGAACCUUCGCACGUAGAGGAAGGAGAAGUCGUAACA
Molecule: ribosomal RNA, 420 nt
Filed under: uncultured eukaryote
Lineage: Eukaryota
Description: partial 18S ribosomal RNA
Rfam family: Eukaryotic small subunit ribosomal RNA
Source: RNAcentral